AAUCUAAUGACAAUAGAUUAGUAUUAGGCCGUAGGUGGAGUAUAGAACUAGAUAAGCUUCUAAAAUAACAGUAAUAACUAAAGAGAGAAGGCAUUAACGUGAAAUACUUAAGUGCGAAACAGAGUAUCAGUUUUUCUCGCUCUAAUUGCGUAUCGGGUUUUAUUUGUAUGUCACUAAGCCCUUGGUGGCAAACAAGUUUUCACCGCUUACUGAUAAAUUCGUGAAACCCAAGUCAAACUUAAAAAAAAUAUUUUAAGACUUUAUCCUUAUAAGAGGUGUAUUUAAAAUGUCAGUUAUGUUGAAUUGUUGCAUAAUUGCCUGUAAAAGCCGUAGUGAAUGUAAAGAACCAAACAUAACCUUUUAUCGAUAAUAAAUGGACUGAGCGUACGGGUAGACUAAACUGGCAUCCAACUCAAAACGCACGGAUAUGCUUAAGACACUUUGAAAUAAGUUGUUUUCAAAAGAAAAAAUAUACAACCACUUGCGAUACCUACACUUUGUAUACACAUGACCUGGUGAAGGCUGGUGGCGGUGGCUAGUUCAGGAGAGCGGAUGACGAGUGAAAUGGUGCGCUUUCCAGGAGGCCUACGUUCAGCAGUGGAUGGAUACAGGUUGACUAUGAUGAUGAACAAGCCAGACCUCAAUGCAAGUAUAAGCGGUUUAGAGACUGUCCACAAAGAGAGCCUGCCCGUUGCCCUUCUAAUUAUUCAAAUGUACAUUUUGCUGGUUUUUGUAAAGCAAAAAAGAGUUGAAUAAAUAAAAUACUACUGCAGUCCUGAUA
Pieris brassicae (large cabbage white) is the source of this 781-nucleotide long non-coding RNA. RefSeq lists it as uncharacterized. The transcript has 4 exons. The record is from RefSeq and is a predicted model, not a curated record. Lineage: Eukaryota; Metazoa; Arthropoda; Insecta; Lepidoptera; Pieridae.